GAACGCUGGCGGUGUGCCUAAUACAUGCAAGUCGAUCGGGCGUAGCAAUACGUCAGAGGCGUACGGGUGAGUAACACGUAGGUAACCUACCUUUAAGACUGGAUACCCAGACGAAAGUUUGGCUAAUACCGGAUAACAACAUUUGAGACAUCUCUUUUGUUUGAAAGGCGCUGCAAGACGCCACUUUUAGAUGGACCUGCGUCGCAUUAGCUAGUUGGUGAGAUAAAAGCCCCACCAAGGCUGGGAUGCGUAGCCGAUCUGAGAGGAUGACCGGCCACAAUGGGACUGAGACACGGCCCAUACUCCUACGGGAGGCAGCAGUAGGGAGUUUUCGGCAAUGGGGGAAACCCUGACCGAGCAACACCGCGUGAGUGAUGAAAGGUCUUCGGAUCGUAAAGCUCUGUUACGAGGGACGAAUGAUCGCUUUAGGAAAUGAGAGCGGUUUGACGGUACCUCGCCAGAAAGCGACGGCUAACUACGUGCCAGCCGCAGC
This 493-nucleotide ribosomal RNA is filed under the name uncultured bacterium. RNAcentral's name for it is "bacterial SSU rRNA". It matches the Rfam family "Bacterial small subunit ribosomal RNA", at positions 31 to 518 of the family's 1533-position model. The record is from RNAcentral.